ACGGAGAAGGCUAUGUUGGCCGGGCGACGGUUGUCCCGGUUUAAGCGUGUAGGUGUGUGUUCCAGGUAAAUCCGGUUCACUUUAACACUGAGGCGUGACGACGAGGCACUACGGUGCUGAAGCAACAAAUGCCCUGCUUCCAGGAAAAGCCUCUAAGCAUCAGGUAACAUCAAAUCGUACCCCAAACCGACACAGGUGGUCAGGUAGAGAAUACCAAGGCGCUUGAGAGAACUCGGGUGAAGGAACUAGGCAAAAUGGUGCCGUAACUUCGGGAGAAGGCACGCUGACACGUAGGUGAAGUGAUUUACUCAUGGAGCUGAAGUCAGUCGAAGAUACCAGCUGGCUGCAACUGUUUAUUAAAAACACAGCACUGUGCAAACACGAAAGUGGACGUAUACGGUGUGACGCCUGCCCGGUGCCGGAAGGUUAAUUGAUGGGGUCAGCGCAAGCGAAGCUCCUGAUCGAAGCCCCGGUAAACGGCGGCCGUAACUAUAACGGUCCUAAGGUAGCGAAAUUCCUUGUCGGGUAAGUUCCGACCUGCACGAAUGGCGUAAUGAUGGCCAGGCUGUCUCCACCCGAGACUCAGUGAAAUUGAACUCGCUGUGAAGAUGCAGUGUACCCGCGGCAAGACGGAAAGACCCCGUGAACCUUUACUAUAGCUUGACACUGAACAUUGAGCCUUGAUGUGUAGGAUAGGUGGGAGGCUUUGAAGUGUGGACGCCAGUCUGCAUGGAGCCGACCUUGAAAUACCACCCUUUAAUGUUUGAUGUUCUAACGUGGACCCGUUACCCGGGUUGCGGACAGUGUCUGGUGGGUAGUUUGACUGGGGCGGUCUCCUCCUAAAGAGUAACGGAGGAGCACGAAGGUUGGCUAAUCCUGGUCGGACAUCAGGAGGUUAGUGCAAUGGCAUAAGCCAGCUUGACUGCGAGCGUGACGGCGCGAGCAGGUGCGAAAGCAGGUCAUAGUGAUCCGGUGGUUCUGAAUGGAAGGGCCAUCGCUCAACGGAUAAAAGGUACUCCGGGGAUAACAGGCUGAUACCGCCCAAGAGUUCAUAUCGACGGCGGUGUUUGGCACCUCGAUGUCGGCUCAUCACAUCCUGGGGCUGAAGUAGGUCCCAAGGGUAUGGCUGUUCGCCAUUUAAAGUGGUACGCGAGCUGGGUUUAGAACGUCGUGAGACAGUUCGGUCCCUAUCUGCCGUGGGCGCUGGAGAACUGAGGGGGGCUGCUCCUAGUACGAGAGGACCGGAGUGGACGCAUCACUGGUGUUCGGGUUGUCAUGCCAAUGGCACUGCCCGGUAGCUAAAUGCGGAAGAGAUAAGUGCUGAAAGCAUCUAAGCACGAAACUUGCCCCGAGAUGAGUUCUCCCUGAGACUUUAGGUCUCCUGAAGGAACGUUGAAGACGACGACGUUGAUAGGCCGGGUGUGUAAGCGCAGCGAUGCGUUGAGCUAACCGGUACUAAUGAACCGUGAGGCUUAACCUUACAACGCCGAAGAUGUUUUGGCGGAUGAGAGACGAUUUUCAGCACUGAUUCNNNNNNNNNNNNNNNNNNNNGCGGAUGAGAGACGAUUUUCAGCACUGAUUCAGAUUACAUCAGAACGUAAAAACGGUCUGAUAACAGAAUUUGCCUGGCGGCAGUAGCGCGGUGGUCCCACCUGANNNNNNNNNNNNNNNNNNNNUAGCGCGGUGGUCCCACCUGACCCCAUGCCGAACUCAGAAGUGAAACGCCGUAGCGCCGAUGGUAGUGUGGGGUCUCCCCAUGCGAGAGUAGGGAACUGCCAGGCAUCA
RNAcentral lists this ribosomal RNA (1785 nucleotides) under Salmonella enterica subsp. enterica serovar Paratyphi A. The record is from RNAcentral. Lineage: Bacteria; Pseudomonadati; Pseudomonadota; Gammaproteobacteria; Enterobacterales; Enterobacteriaceae.